GCUGAAUGUGGGGAUAAUUUAUCUCCGUGUUGUAGCUAACGCGUUAAGCACUCCGCCUGGGGACUACGGUCGCAAGACUAAAACUCAAAGGAAUUGACGGGGACCCGCACAAGCGGUGGAGCAUGUGGUUUAAUUCGAUGCAACGCGAAAAACCUUACCACUCCUUGACAUGGAGAUUAGAUCCUUCUUAACAGAAGGGCGCAGUUCGGCUGGAUCUCGCACAGGUGCUGCAUGGCUGUCGUCAGCUCGUGUCGUGAGAUGUUGGGUUAAGUCCCGCAACGAGCGUAACCCUCAUCCUUAGUUGCCAGCGGGUUAAGCCGGGCACUUUAAGGAAACUGCCAGUGGUAAACCGGAGGAAGGUGGGGAUGAUGUCAAGUCAGCACGGCCCUUAUGGGGUGGGCUACACACGUGCUACAAUGGUGACUACAAUAGGUUGCAAUGUCGCAAGGCUGAGCUAAUCCGUAAAAGUCAUCUCAGUUCGGAUUGUCCUCUGCAACUCGAGGGCAUGAAGUCGGAAUCGCUAGUAAUCGUGGAUCAGCAUGCCACGGUGAAUACGUUCUCGGGUCUUGUACACACUGCCCGUCACGCCAUGGGAAUUGGCUUAACUCGAAGCUGGUGCCCUAACCGAAAGGAAGCAGCCAU
RNAcentral lists this ribosomal RNA (642 nucleotides) under uncultured Anaplasma sp. RNAcentral describes it as "bacterial SSU rRNA". It matches the Rfam family "Bacterial small subunit ribosomal RNA", at positions 815 to 1456 of the family's 1533-position model. Lineage: Bacteria; Pseudomonadati; Pseudomonadota; Alphaproteobacteria; Rickettsiales; Anaplasmataceae. The record is from RNAcentral.